GGUCUUAUAUUCAAUUAUGAUAUUAAAGUGCAAAUUUAAUGGUGUAUUAUUACUAAGGCUU
This 61-nucleotide transfer RNA is filed under the name Carausius sp. RNAcentral's name for it is "tRNA-Cys". The record is from RNAcentral. Lineage: Eukaryota; Metazoa; Arthropoda; Insecta; Phasmatodea; Lonchodidae.